CAGCCGCCGCGGGAAUACGUAGGGUGCGAGCGUUAAUCGGAAUUACUGGGCGUAAAGCGUGCGCAGGCGGUUCGUUAAGACAGAUGUGAAAUUCCCGGGCUUAACCUGGGAACUGCAUUUGUGACUGGCGAGCUAGAGUAUGGCAGAGGGGGGUAGAAUUCCACGUGUAGCAGUGAAAUGCGUAGAGAUGUGGAGGAAUACCGAUGGCGAAGGCAGCCAUCUGGCCUAAUACUGACGCUGAGGUACGAAAGCAUGGGGAGCAAACAGGAUUAGAUACCCCUGUAGUCCCUGUCUCUUAUAA
RNAcentral lists this ribosomal RNA (301 nucleotides) under uncultured bacterium. RNAcentral's name for it is "partial 16S ribosomal RNA". It matches the Rfam family "Bacterial small subunit ribosomal RNA", at positions 509 to 809 of the family's 1533-position model. The record is from RNAcentral.